ACGCUCGACACCUACGGCAGCAGUGGGGAAUAUUGCACAACGGGGGAAACCCUGAUGCAGCGACGCCGCGUGAAGGAAGAAGUAUCUCGGUAUGUAAACUUCUAUCAGCAGGGAAGAAAAUGACGGUAUCUGACUAAGAAGCCCCGGCUAACUACGUGCCAGCAGCCGCGGUAAUCUGAGCGGGCUGGCAAGGC
Molecule: ribosomal RNA, 194 nt
Filed under: uncultured bacterium
Lineage: Bacteria
Description: partial 16S ribosomal RNA
Rfam family: Bacterial small subunit ribosomal RNA
Source: RNAcentral